Long non-coding RNA from Ctenocephalides felis (cat flea), 269 nucleotides. RefSeq lists it as uncharacterized. The transcript has 3 exons. NCBI's taxonomy places the organism in Eukaryota, Metazoa, Arthropoda, Insecta, Siphonaptera, Pulicidae. The record is from RefSeq and is a predicted model, not a curated record.
AAACCGAUGACUUCGAGAUUAUUGGGCAAUAAAUAUAGCAUAUUGCUUUAUGCACAGACUUGCUGUUCUUCUCAUGCUGUUGGACAAUAAAUCAAUACGUAUAUAUAUUUACCAAUGAAUAGUCAAAUGUUAGGAAACCGACCUCAAGGUCCAAUUGCUCCACGUAACAUUGAGACACAAGAUUUGAAUGAAAUGAUUGAGGAGUGUGUGAUGAAGGCUACAGAUGAUCCAGCUCCAAAACAUGUUAAGAUGGGGAGGAACAAGAAAAA